Molecule: ribosomal RNA, 122 nt
Organism: Erinaceus europaeus (western European hedgehog)
Lineage: Eukaryota; Metazoa; Chordata; Mammalia; Eulipotyphla; Erinaceidae
Source: Ensembl
AUAUACUGCCCUACCACCCUGAACAUGCCAGAUCUCAUCUGAUCUCAGAAGCUAAGAAGGGUGGGGCCUAGUUAAUAUUUGGAAGGGAGAAGAAGAGACAGAGACACCUGCAGCACUGCAUC